GGGUUGUGAGGUUAAGCGAAUAAGCGUACACGGUGGAUGCCUAGGCAGUCAGAGGCGAUGAAGGACGUGCUAAUCUGCGAUAAGCGUCGGUAAGGUGAUAUGAACCGUUAUAGCCGACGAUUUCCGAAUGGGGAAACCCAGUGCAAUUCGUUGCACUAUCAUUAACUGAAUACAUAGGUUAAUGAAGCGAACCGGGAGAACUGAAACAUCUAAGUACCCCGAGGAAAAGAAAUCAAACGAGAUUCCCCCAGUAGCGGCGAGCGAACGGGGAACAGCCCAGAACCUGAAUCAGCACCAGUAUUAGGAGAACGGCCCUGGAAAGGCCGGCCACAGCAGGUGAUAGCCCUGUAUCCGAAAAUGCUGGUGUUGUGAGUUCGAUGAGUAAGGCGGGACACGUGUUAUCCUGUCUGAAUAUGGGGGGACCAUCCUCCAAGGCUAAAUACUCCUGACUGACCGAUAGUGAACCAGUACCGUGAGGGAAAGGCGAAAAGAACCCCGGCGAGGGGAGUGAAAAAGAACCUGAAACCGUGUACGUACAAGCAGUGGGAGCACCCUUGUGGUGUGACUGCGUACCUUUUGUAUAAUGGGUCAGCGACUUAUAUUCUGUAGCAAGGUUAACCGAAUAGGGGAGCCGCAGGGAAACCGAGUCUUAACUGGGCGAAUUAGUUGCAGGGUAUAGACCCGAAACCCGGUGAUCUAGCCAUGGGCAGGUUGAAGGUUGGGUAACACUAACUGGAGGACCGAACCGACUAAUGUUGAAAAAUUAGCGGAUGACUUGUGGCUGGGGGUGAAAGGCCAAUCAAACCGGGAGAUAGCUGGUUCUCCCCGAAAGCUAUUUAGGUAGCGCCUCGUGAAUUUAUCUCCGGGGGUAGAGCACUGUUUCGGCUAGGGGGUCAUCCCGACUUACCAACCCGAUGCAAACUACGAAUACCGGAGAAUAUUAUCACGGGAGACACACGGCGGGUGCUAACGUUCGUCGUGAAGAGGGAAACAACCCAGACCGCCGGCUAAGGUCCCAAAGUCAUAAUUAAGUGGGAAACGAAGUGGGAAGGCUCAGACAGCCAGGAUGUUGGCUUAGAAGCAGCCAUCAUUUAAAGAAAGCGUAAUAGCUCACUGGUCGAGUCGGCCUGCGCGGAAGAUGUAACGGGGCUAAAUUAUGCACCGAAGCCGCGGCAGCGAUAUGUAAAUAUUGUUGGGUAGGGGAGCGUUCUGUAAGCCUGCGAAGGUGACCUGUGAGGGUUGCUGGAGGUAUCAGAAGUGCGAAUGCUGACAUAAGUAACGAUAAUGCGGGUGAAAA
This 1297-nucleotide ribosomal RNA is filed under the name Morganella psychrotolerans. Its description in RNAcentral is "bacterial LSU rRNA". It matches the Rfam family "Bacterial large subunit ribosomal RNA", at positions 1 to 1327 of the family's 2925-position model. The record is from RNAcentral. Lineage: Bacteria; Pseudomonadati; Pseudomonadota; Gammaproteobacteria; Enterobacterales; Morganellaceae.